This 882-nucleotide unclassified non-coding RNA is filed under the name Hevea brasiliensis (rubber tree). Lineage: Eukaryota; Viridiplantae; Streptophyta; Magnoliopsida; Malpighiales; Euphorbiaceae. The record is from RNAcentral.
CCGAAUUCUGCUCAGCCCUAGUCAUACAGUUGCAAUUUUGAUUCUGUUUAUGGUUCAUGUUGUGCUGUGGUGCUAUCUGUUUCUUGUUCAGAGAAGAUCAAUAGAAGGUGGAAAACAAGGUGCAUCUGUUAAAAAGUUGAAAAAGGACAAAGCUGCUAGUGCAACUGCAAAAGUUGUGCGUCCUGAGACUAAUACUGGAUCAAUGGCACCACGAGUCAAAUCAGAACUUCCCUUGCCAGUAAUGUAUUUUCUAGAAUCUUAUUUCUCUUUCCAUAUAAAAUAUACAUUAUGGCUGUUACCUGUAGUUUUGUUUUCUUGUGGACUAGAUGGUAUGCAUUUGGUGUUAGGAUCCAGCAAAAAGAUGUAGCAACGUGAUGUUUGUACCACAUGCGAGGAAAAAAUAUAUUUUGCAGUGAUUAAAUACAGGAAAUAGGAGAUAGAUUGUAGCUAUUAUCUAAUAAUUUGCAGCAUACUAUAUUGUAAAAAUAAAAAAGUAUAUUUGUUGGUUGGAGGCAUUUCUUUUAUGGUUUUUCUGAACUGUCCUGAAAACAGAACAUUAGCAAAAUUCCUGCCCACCCCACUUACACAAUGCAUGAAUGCUUGUUCUCAUGACCAUUAAAUUACCUUAGAUUCAACUAAGAUUUAAUUAGAUGAUCAGUGAAUUUUUGCUGGUGUUUCAUAUUGACUCUUUGAUGUCAUUCAUUUCUGUUUUCUUUUUUCUUGCUUGCUUGAUGGCUGUAGUUUAUCAAUUGUGCUAUGUCUUGUAUUUUUUGGAUUGUAUGUAAUCCGAACUUAGUCAUGGUUCAUUCUCUACAAUCUACAUAAAUAUGAUUUUUGCAAUGUUUUCCACGUUGAGGCCCUUGCACAAUUCCUUGGUCCAGG